This 486-nucleotide ribosomal RNA is filed under the name Triticum aestivum (bread wheat). Its description in RNAcentral is "partial small subunit ribosomal RNA". Lineage: Eukaryota; Viridiplantae; Streptophyta; Magnoliopsida; Poales; Poaceae. The record is from RNAcentral.
AUGUGCUUAGUUCUGAAGGGUUUGAGAGAGGAACAGCAGUGCAGUUUCAGAGGGAGACCCGUCGAGAUUCUUUCAGAAAACUGUCGCAGAUUGCUACGUACUUUGAAUGGGUUCAGAAGCACCUGCCAAGCAACGCGGUCUCUUGAUCGAGUUCGUAUGAAUGGAUGGAAAAGGAGCAGAAAACCUCAACCGGAUCCCCUACAUUUUACAGAAAAAAACUGCAUUCUACAUAAUAGAAAACAGCAAAGGAGGAGUAACAAGUCUUGGGAUGUAGGCAAAGAGAACAGACAAAAUAUAGUCCGGGUAAACCUACAAAAAAAUACUGACAGAAAACAAAAUGAUCCUUGUGGUCACCAAUCAAAUUGUUCUGGGUACACUUGUCGGGCCGUUAUCGGGGUGAGCUUCAGGUUGGUUGAUGAAACCACAAAACUAAUGGUUCCAAUCAUGAUUCCCAAGAAAUCAUCACUGCUGAAGGACAAUUUGUGA